UCACUGCGUUGGGUAGGGAAACGCCGGCAGACGUCUGAAGCCGCGUAGAUUUUUUUCCAUAAUUUUAUUAAACAAGAAAUAUCCCGGUGUGUAAACAAAAUACAUCUGAGUUGGAAAGCUGCCCGCCCGGGGCUGGACCUGGCCGGCUCAGGAGCUGUGCUUCUGCCGCUUCCAGAAGCGCUUGACGUCGCUGUGCCCUGCCGGCGUCACCACCAUCAGCCGCUUGGCCGAGUUCUCGAACACAAGCACGCCCAGCUCCCGCGCGUGGGCCAGCAGCAGUUCAAAGUCCACUUGCGACAGGAACUGGUUAUACAGGACGCCUGGGGUCGGGUGGGACAGGCAGGAGGUGAGGGGCUGCAGUGGUCUCUGCCCCUCCAAGCAGCAUGCAGGCAGGGGCUGCAGGCCACAGUUCUUAGGACUAAUUCUCUACGGAUAGUCGACUGUUCAACUUUAACACCUGUGGCAUCCAGACACUCGAAAAGACAGCAGAAUCCACAAGAAAAGCCACGCAAACCCACCUAAAGAGAAGACUGAAUUACCCUGCCUCUUAUCCCCUCACCUAGCUUAAUUCAAACUGCACUGAUUUGGGACAUAUUUCCUGCUACUAAUAUACCAAAAUAAAAGAUCAGUCUUCCUCUCCUUCCCUUUU
This 649-nucleotide long non-coding RNA is filed under the name Mus musculus (house mouse). RNAcentral's name for it is "long non-coding RNA chr17:35667682-35668331". The record is from RNAcentral. Lineage: Eukaryota; Metazoa; Chordata; Mammalia; Rodentia; Muridae.